GCUUCUCUAGCUCACUGGUAGAGCGUCCCCACGACUCGGGGAGGGUGCAUGGUCCGAUUCCAUGGGGAAGCA
RNAcentral lists this transfer RNA (72 nucleotides) under Parascardovia denticolens IPLA 20019. Its description in RNAcentral is "tRNA-OTHER". The record is from RNAcentral. Lineage: Bacteria; Bacillati; Actinomycetota; Actinomycetes; Bifidobacteriales; Bifidobacteriaceae.